GUGGGGAAUUUUGGACAAUGGGGGCAACCCUGAUCCAGCAAUGCCGCGUGCAGGAAGAAGGCCUUCGGGUUGUAAACUGCUUUUGUACGGAACGAAAAGGCUCUGGUUAAUACCUGGGGCACAUGACGGUACCGUAAGAAUAAGCACCGGCUAACUACGUGCCAGCAGCCGCGGUAAUACGUAGGGUGCAAGCGUUAAUCGGAAUUACUGGGCGUAAAGCGUGCGCAGGCGGUGCUGUAAGACAGGCGUGAAAUCCCCGGGAUUAACCUGGGAAUGGCGCUUGUGACUGCAGUGCUGGAGUGUGGCAGAGGGGGAUGGAAUUCCGCGUGUAGCAGUGAAAUGCGUAGAUAUGCGGAGGAACACCGAUGGCGAAGGCAAUCCCCUGGGCCUGCACUGACGCUCAUGCACGAAAGCGUGGGGAGCAAACAGGAUUAGAAACCCGGGUAGUCC
This 450-nucleotide ribosomal RNA is filed under the name uncultured bacterium. RNAcentral's name for it is "partial 16S ribosomal RNA". It matches the Rfam family "Bacterial small subunit ribosomal RNA", at positions 354 to 796 of the family's 1533-position model. The record is from RNAcentral.